This 381-nucleotide ribosomal RNA is filed under the name uncultured eukaryote. Its description in RNAcentral is "partial 18S ribosomal RNA". It matches the Rfam family "Eukaryotic small subunit ribosomal RNA", at positions 592 to 975 of the family's 1831-position model. The record is from RNAcentral.
CAAUAGCGUAUAUUAAAGUUGUUGCAGUUAAAAAGCUCGUAGUUGGAUUUCUGGUUGAAGCGACCGGUCGGGCGUUGAUUCGUCUGCACUGGAGUCGGUUUUGGCCAUCCUCUAGGAAAGUGCGUCUGGUAUUAAGUUAUCGGGCGUAUGAUCCUGGUCUUUUACUGUGAAAAAAUUAGAGUGUUUAAAGCAGGCCUUCGCCUUGAAUACAUUAGCAUGGAAUAAUAAGAUAGGACUUUGGUCUAUUUUGUUGGUUUGCAGACCGAAGUAAUGAUUAAUAGGGAUAGUUGGGGGUAUUUAUAUUCCGAUGUCAGAGGUGAAAUUCUUAGAUUUUCGGAAGAUAAACUUAUGCGAAAGCAUUUACCAAGGAUGUCUUCAUUA